RNAcentral lists this ribosomal RNA (446 nucleotides) under uncultured bacterium. RNAcentral describes it as "partial 16S ribosomal RNA". It matches the Rfam family "Bacterial small subunit ribosomal RNA", at positions 354 to 796 of the family's 1533-position model. The record is from RNAcentral.
GUAGGGAAUAUUGGACAAUGGGGGGAACCCUGAUCCAGCCAUGCCGCGUGGAGGAAGACUGCCCUCUGGGUUGUAAACUCCUUUUAUAUGGGAAGAACCGUCCUCAUUAAUGAGUGACCUGACGGUACCAUAGGAAUAAGCACCGGCUAACUACGUGCCAGCAGCCGCGGUAAUACGUAGGGUGCAAGCGUUAAUCGGAAUUACUAGGCGUAAAGCGUGCGCAGGCGGCUUUGUAAGACGGAUGUGAAAGCCCCGGGCUCAACCUGGGAAGUGCGUUCGUGACUGCAAGGCUAGAGUGUGUCAGAGGGAGGUGGAAUUCCGCGUGUAGCAGUGAAAUGCGUAGAGAUGCGGAGGAACACCGAUGGCGAAGGCAGCCUCCUGGGAUAACACUGACGCUCAGGCACGAAAGCGUGGGGAGCAAACAGGAUUAGAUACCCGUGUAGUCC